UGCUCCAGAAUAGCUCUUGGAAACGGGUGGUAAUGCUGGAUGCUCCAACUUGACGCAUGUCUUGUUGGGAAAGUGUUUAGUGGCAUGGGAUGGGGUCGCGUCCUAUCAGCUUGUAGGCGGGGUAAUGGCCCACCUAGGCUUCGACGGGUAGCCGGCCUGAGAGGGCGGACGGCCACAUUGGGACUGAGAUACGGCCCAGACUCCUACGGGAGGCAGCAGCG
Molecule: ribosomal RNA, 221 nt
Filed under: uncultured Gardnerella sp.
Lineage: Bacteria; Bacillati; Actinomycetota; Actinomycetes; Bifidobacteriales; Bifidobacteriaceae
Description: partial 16S ribosomal RNA
Rfam family: Bacterial small subunit ribosomal RNA
Source: RNAcentral